GAGUUUGAUCAUGGCUCAGGAUGAACGCUGACAGAAUGCUUAACACAUGCAAGUCUUUGGCGAAUCUGUGCUUGCACAGGCUAGCCAAGGCGGACGGGUGAGUAACGCGUAAAGAACUUGCCCUGCAGACAGGGAUAACAGACGGAAACGACUGAUAACACCUGAUACAAUUGCCGGCACGCAUGUGCCUGGCAAUGAAAAGAGAUGCUGCGGGAGAGCUUUGCGUCCUAUUAGCUUGUUGGUGAGGUAACGGCUCACCAAGGCGAUGAUGGGUAGGGGAACUGAGAGGUUGAACCCCCACACUGGUACUGAGACACGGACCAGACUCCUACGGGAGGCAGCAGUGAGGAAUAUUGGUCAAUGGGCGAGAGCCUGAACCAGCCAAGUCGCGUGAAGGAUGACUGUCUUAUGGAUUGUAAACUUCUUUUAUACGGGAAUAACAAGAGCCACGUGUGGCUCCCUGCAUGUACCGUAUGAAUAAGCAUCGGCUAACUCCGUGCCAGCAGCCGCGGUAAUACGGAGGAUGCGAGCGUUAUCCGGAUUUAUUGGGUUUAAAGGGUGCGUAGGCGGCCUGUUAAGUCAGCGGUGAAAUCUAGGAGCUUAACUCCUAAAUUGCCAUUGAUACUGGCGGGCUUGAGUGUAGAUGAGGUAGGCGGAAUGCGUGGUGUAGCGGUGGAAUGCAUAGAUAUCACGCAGAACUCCGAUUGCGAAGGCAGCUUACUAAGGUACAACUGACGCUGAAGCACGAAAGCGUGGGUAUCAAAACAGGAUUAGAUACCCUGGUAGUCCACGCAGUAAACGAUGAUAACUGGGCGUAUGCGAUAUACAGUAUGCUCCUAAGCGAAAGCGUUAAGUUAUCCACCUGGGGAGUACGCCGGCAAACGGUGAAACUCAAAAGGAAAUUGACGGGGGCCCGCACGAAGCGGAGGAAACAUGUGGUUUAAUUCGAUGAUACGCGAGGAACCUUACCCGGGAUUGAAAAUGUAGAUGACCGCUCCUGAAAGGGAGUUUUUCCUUCGGGACAUCUAUGUAGGUGCUGCAUGGUUGUUCGUUCAGCUCGUGCCGUGAGGUGUUCGGCUUAAAGUGCCAUAACGAGCGCAAACCCCUGUCUACGGUUGCCAUCAGGUAAUGCUGGGAAACUCCGUAGAGACUGCCGUCGUAAGGCGUGAGAAAGGUGGGGAUGACGUCAAUUCAGCGACGGCCCUUACUUCCGGGGCGACGCACGUGUUACGAAUGGUAAGGACGAAAGGGCGAGCUACCUGGCGACGGGAAUGCGAAUUCUCUAACCCUU
This 1291-nucleotide ribosomal RNA is filed under the name uncultured bacterium. RNAcentral describes it as "bacterial SSU rRNA". It matches the Rfam family "Bacterial small subunit ribosomal RNA", at positions 9 to 1284 of the family's 1533-position model. The record is from RNAcentral.